AGAGUUUGAUCCUGGCUCAGGACGAACGCUGGCGGCGUGCCUAAUACAUGCAAGUCGAGCGAACUUCUUUAGAGCUCGCUUUAAAGAAGUUAGCGGCGGACGGGUGAGUAACACGUGGGCAACCUGCCUGUAAGACUGGGAUAACUUCGGGAAACCGGAGCUAAUACCGGAUAAUAUAUAGUACCUCCUGGUACUAUAUUGAAAGUUGGUUUCGGCUAACACUUACAGAUGGGCCCGCGGCGCAUUAGCUAGUUGGUGAGGUAACGGCUCACCAAGGCGACGACGGCUAGCUGGUCUGAGAGGACGACCAGCCACACUGGGACUGAGACACGGCCCAGACUCCUACGGGAGGCAGCAGUGGGGAAUCUUGCGCAAUGGGCGAAAGCCUGACGCAGCAACGCCGCGUGGGGGAUGAAGGCCCUCGGGUUGUAAACCCCUUUCAGCAGGGACGAAUCUGACGGUACCUGCAGAAGAAGCCCCGGCCAACUACGUGCCAACAGCCGCGGUAAUACGUAGGGGGCGAGCGUUGUCCGGAUUUAUUGGGCGUAAAGAGCUCGUAGGCGGCUUGGCAAGUCGGGUGUGAAACCUCCAGGCUUAACCUGGAGACGCCACUCGAUACUGCCAUGGCUAGAGUCCGGUAGGGGACCACGGAAUUCCUGGUGUAGCGGUGAAAUGCGCAGAUAUCAGGAGGAACACCGGUGGCGAAGGCGGUGGUCUGGGCCGGCACUGACGCUGAGGAGCGAAAGCGUGGGUAGCAAACAGGAUUAGAUACCCCGGUAGUCC
Molecule: ribosomal RNA, 783 nt
Filed under: uncultured Acidimicrobiales bacterium
Lineage: Bacteria; Bacillati; Actinomycetota; Acidimicrobiia; Acidimicrobiales
Description: bacterial SSU rRNA
Rfam family: Bacterial small subunit ribosomal RNA
Source: RNAcentral